Alternaria postmessia is the source of this 143-nucleotide non-coding RNA. The record is from the annotation of a RefSeq genome assembly. NCBI's taxonomy places the organism in Eukaryota, Fungi, Ascomycota, Dothideomycetes, Pleosporales, Pleosporaceae.
UCUUCGAUGGUCUAGUGGUCAUGAUUUCCGCUUGUCAAGUCUUCAGGAUUUACAAGCGCGGGAGACCGGGGUGUAUGUGUACACUUAUCCAAAAACAGAUGAACGUGUUCUAAUUAUUCAACAGUCGAUUCCCCGUCGGAGAG